CCUACGGGUGGCAGCAGGGAGGAAUAUUGGUCAAUGGACGCAAGUCGGAACCAGCCAUGCCGCGUGCAGGAAGACGGCUCGAUGAGGGGUAAACUGCGUUUGUACGAGGGUAAACGCAGAUACGUGUAUCUGUCUGCACGUAUCGUACGAAUAAGGAUCGGCUAACUCCGUGCCAGCAGCCGCGGUAAUACGGAGGAUUCAAGCGUUCUCCGGAUUUAUUGGGUUUAAAGGGUGCGUAGGCGGUCGGAUAAGUUAGAGGUGAAAUCCCGGGGCUCAACUUCGGAAUUGCCUCUGAUACUGUUCGGCUAGAGCGUAGUUGCGGUAGGCGGAAUGUAUGGUGUAGCGGUGAAAUGCUUAGAGAUCAUACAGAACACCGAUUGCGAAGGCAGCAUACCGGCGCUCAACUGACGCUCAUGCACGAAAGUGUGGGUAUCGAACAGGAUUAGAUACCCCUGUAGUC
RNAcentral lists this ribosomal RNA (460 nucleotides) under uncultured bacterium. Its description in RNAcentral is "partial 16S ribosomal RNA". It matches the Rfam family "Bacterial small subunit ribosomal RNA", at positions 338 to 795 of the family's 1533-position model. The record is from RNAcentral.